CCUACGGGGGGCUGCAGUGGGGAAUUUUGGACAAUGGGGGCAACCCUGAUCCAGCCAUGCCGCGUGAGUGAAGAAGGCCUUCGGGUUGUAAAGCUCUUUCGGCCGGGAAGAAAUCGCUUCGGCUAAUACCUGGAGUGGAUGGCGGUACCGGAAGAAGAAGCACCGGCUAACUACGUGCCAGCAGCCGCGGUAAUACGUAGGGUGCAAGCGUUAAUCGGAAUUACUAGGCGUAUUGCUUGCGCAGGCGGGAAAUCCCCGGGCUUAACCUGGGAACUGCGUGUGUGACUGCGAGACUUGAGUGCGGCAGAGGGGGGUGGAAUUCCACGUGUAGCAGUGAAAUGCGUAGAGAUGUGGAGGAACACCGAUGGCGAAGGCAGCCCCCUGGGUCGACACUGACGCUCAUGCACGAAAGCGUGGGGAGCAAACAGGAUUAGAUACCCCGGUAGUC
RNAcentral lists this ribosomal RNA (448 nucleotides) under uncultured bacterium. RNAcentral describes it as "partial 16S ribosomal RNA". It matches the Rfam family "Bacterial small subunit ribosomal RNA", at positions 338 to 795 of the family's 1533-position model. The record is from RNAcentral.